Molecule: ribosomal RNA, 206 nt
Filed under: uncultured bacterium
Lineage: Bacteria
Description: partial 16S ribosomal RNA
Rfam family: Bacterial small subunit ribosomal RNA
Source: RNAcentral
AUUGCAGCCUGCAACUCGGCUGCAUGAAGCUGGAAUCGCUAGUAAUCGCGGAUCAGAAUGCCGCGGUGAAUACGUUCCCGGGUCUUGUACACACCGCCCGUCACACCAUGGGAGUCAGUAACGCCCGAAGCCGGUGACCCAACCUAAUCAGGAGGGAGCCGUCGAAGGCGGGACGGAUGACUGGGGUGAAGUCGUAACAAGGUACC